CCUACGGGUGGCAGCAGUGAGGAAUAUUGGUCAAUGGUCGGGAGACUGAACCAGCCAAGCCGCGUGAGGGAUGAAGGUACAGAGUAUCGUAAACCUCUUUUGUCAGGGAACAAAGGCGGGGACGUGUCCCCGGAUGAGUGUACCUGAAGAAAAAGCAUCGGUUAACUCCGUGCCAGCCGCCGCGGUAAUACGGAGGAUGCGAGCGUUAUCCGGAUUUAUGGGGUUUAAAGGGUGCGCGGGGGGUCGGUUAAGGCAGCGGUCAAAGCCCGGGGCACAACCCCGGCCCGCCGUUGAAACUGGCAGUCUCGAGUUGGAGAGAAGUAUGCGGAAUGCGCGGUGUAGCGGUGAAAUGCAUAGAUAUCGCGCAGAACUCCGAUUGCGAAGGCAGCAUGCCGGCUCCACACUGACGCUGAGGCACGAAAGCGUGGGUAUCGAACAGGAUUAGAUACCCUGGUAGUC
This 459-nucleotide ribosomal RNA is filed under the name uncultured bacterium. RNAcentral's name for it is "partial 16S ribosomal RNA". It matches the Rfam family "Bacterial small subunit ribosomal RNA", at positions 338 to 795 of the family's 1533-position model. The record is from RNAcentral.